Non-coding RNA from Podarcis lilfordi (Lilford's wall lizard), 5407 nucleotides. Lineage: Eukaryota; Metazoa; Chordata; Lepidosauria; Squamata; Lacertidae. The record is from the annotation of a GenBank genome assembly.
AAUGAACCUCCAGAACGAAUUAAGUUCUUAACCCAAGGUACCACUGUAUGUGGACAGAUAGUUUAAGGUUCCAUUUUUUUAAAAAAAAAAUCUGCUAUUUUGUGUGUGUGAUUUUGCUGGUGACAAUGUGUCUGCAUCGUUCUAUUAAAAGAAAAUGUAUGAUCUGUGAUGUGUGACAAAUGUCUUUUUUCCCUAUUGUUUUUUUGUUUGUUUAUUCAUUCAUUUAUAAUAUAUUAGUACAUCCAUUUCACAAUGUUCUUUAUUACCCUUCUACAUUGUUCGACUUCCCCCGCACCUCCCUCCAUGGGUUCCUUUUUUCCCUUAGUUGUGCUACAUAUCCUUUCGCACCUUCUAAUUGAUUUAGCUGCUGUUCAUAUGUCUGAUCCUACUUGGAGAUUUAUAUAACUAUUAGAAUUUUAAAAAUAUUCUCCAAAGUUUUCCCACUCCUCUCUUAUCUUAUCAUCUUGGUUUCUUAUCUUUGCAGUCAGCAUCGCUAGCUCCACAUAUUCUAUCCGGUUAUUCUGCCAAUCCUCUUUUUUGGACUAUUUUUGUCCUUCCACAUUUGUGUGUAAGUUAUUCUGGCCACAGCAGUUGCAUAAAGAAAAAGAUUUAAUUCAUUCUUAGAUAUCUCACCAUCUACUACUGUAUAUCCAAAAGGAACAGAUGCGUGACAAUUUUCAUGAGUGCCUGCAUUGCUGCAUUAUUUGUGUUUGGAGAGUACAGCAUGCAGCACACUUUAGACACAAGGUACCGUGACAAAAUAGGCAUACCCUCACACAUGCUGAUGUAGUCACAUUAUCCUGUGCUGUUACCUCCGUGUAGGAAAGAUGUCACUUGUGAAGCAAUCCUUAAUCUGUUGGUUUAUAUCUAAAGACCACUCUGCACAUUAGAGAUUUUGAAGUUUAUAUGGGUACAUUACCUGAACCUCCUGUAUACCUUAAAGUUUUCAGUGGGUAUACAUCUCUUCCCCUCCCUUUUAUCACAAUUAUCUCUUGGGGCCCCAGUUCAUGGACAUGUGGUCAUGUCUCUGCUUAGCAGCAGGGAUGGGUGUAACUACUUUGGCUGAUACAGGGGGAGACACAAGAUGUCCUCUGCAUGUAGUUGAUGCAUUUACAAUACUUAAAUGACUUUAGCAGUGUUAAAGGUUUUUUGAUGGUUAGAGCAGGUUAUAAUAGUCAUUAAAUAACAUACCAAAUAUUGUUUCCCUUAAAGUAUUUAAAAUUUCAAAAGUUAAUAUAUUUUAUAUAGUUAUUACAUCAUUUAUACAUUUUUCUUUCUUUCAUGAUGCUAUGAUAAUGCUCUUGUUUUAUCUUGUAUUAAAUGUUUGUACCAUGUUUAUAUUUUAAAAUAUAGAAUCAAUUAAAGAAAGCUACCAGAAAAAGAUAGUGGAUUUAUGGUCCUCCCUGCGUGUCAUAAACAAUUUCUAAUAGUGCUUGAUAGUUGAAAUUUGCAGUUUGCUCUUUUUAUAGUGAGAUCCAUUUUCUAGAAAGGGAUCUUUUGCUUUUGAAAUUCAGGGUGACUGUGAGCCAGGCUUUUCACAAGUAUAUUUUAGAAAUCCAGUGGCUCUCAAUAAUAAAUGAGUGGGCUUGGAACAACAGGUAUCCCUUUAUUUAUAUUUACUGCAGUAGAUAUACUGAAGUGUAAGGCAAAAUAAUGUGAUGCAAUAUACCAGAUAUAAAUCUGUUUAUAAUUUCUAUGACAAGCUUUAUGUGUACAAUCUUCAAAUGUAAAGUGAUCAAUUAGCAGGUUGCUGUUAUUCUGGUCACAGCAACAUCUAGCAUGAAGAGGAAAUAAACAAGCCUCCUGCAAGUGACAAGGUGAACAGGCAGAUAUUCAUUUUCAGUAAGGAUGUAGUUGAACAAAGUUGAACUUUCUUCAUAAUGCCCUGACAGGAAAAGUGAUACAUUCCAGAUGUUUUGUGGAACGUUCUAUGUUUGACUUUUUGUUGUUUUUACUGCAAGAGACUAAGACCAACUGAUUUAUUGUGGCAGAAGCUUUCAUGGAAUAGAUUCCACUUUGGCAGAUGAUUAGAUGUAAAUGCUGCAUUUGAUAUACUGUACUUUAGAUUAAGAAAGUUUAUGACACAGCCUUAAAUGUUCCCCAAAAAUCCUUGCUGUUUUGGUAAAAAGAUGACUUGGUCUUGGAGAGGACACCAGUGACAUUAAUUGAAUUAAAUGCCUGUACCUUUAGUUAGUUUUUUGAAUACUGUUGGAAUACUCAACUUCUGUCUGCCAUUAGAUUAGGGGUAGUUAUUUCAUGAUUAAAAACCCUGAGAUGCUAACCUUUAGAACAACUGCCUGAUUCCUUAUUUAGUAAAUCAGUAAGUCUGAGAUUUCCUAGCUAAUAUUGAAUGCAUAUUUAUGGAAGUUAACAUACGGGUAUUAACUGCAUGUAACACUGGGUCAGUCACUUCAGCUCACAGUGGCAGAUGUCGGGAUGGGGUCAAAAAAGAAUCAGAAUCAACACACAAUUGACUUUUAAACCAAAAUGUACUUGGCAGCAAAGAGGAGAGGGAGGCAGAUGAAGACCAGGUGGACUUCCCAUCCUGUGGUCCCACAGUGUCUUCUACCACCAACUGCUUUGUAGGUAGGGUCCAAGAGAGUGGCAAAGUACCAUUUUUAGCACCUGCUCUCUCCCUUCCCUCAAAACAAGACCAUCUGCUGCCAGCUGCAUUGCUGGAAGGAUCCUGAUGGCUUAUAUUUUGCUUGUUUUGUCAUGAUUUUAUUUUCACCAUUGUUAUUUGUAAGCAGCCUUGGAAGGAUUUGUGUUCUGAAAUGUGGGUUAUAAAUAAUAGUAGUAGCUAACUAAAUAGGAUCUGGCAGAAAAACCCUUAAUCUGUUUUAGGGGAGUUGGAUAGCUGAAGAUGGCAGCUGGAGGUGCACAGAGACAGUCCAUGUCAUCUAUGCAUACAGUAUGUGUGUUCUAGCAUUACGUGUGAUUAUGUGACUGCUCCUUUAUUACGAUCUCCGUCAGUUUCUAAACCUCAGCAGCAAUUGUGACAUAUAUAACCAUAACAUGUGGAAACAAGAAUCAAGCAAUACUUUCUUACUUACUUUGCCAAACCUUUGUUAAGCAUUACAAGUAUAGGCCACCAUAAAACAUCCAUAUAUAAAAUUUUAAUAUAUAUAGGAAUAAGCAGCCAUGUAAUAUAGGUAUUGACGAGGAUUUUCAUUGGGAAUCAAGCAAUAGUUUCUAACUGGUAAACAAAAAACCCAAAUACUCAGCAGCUAAAUAGGAAAAUGCGUAAACAUUCCUUUUUCAGUUCCACCAACCAGUACUGUCUAGGGUCUACAGCACUGGAAAGGAAUUUUGUCUCACUUGAAAGAAUCCCCCCCUUUCAUCCGAUCUUUUCUUCAUGAGGUUCUUUUCUUAAAAUUCAUACCCUAUUCCAGGGGUCAGCAACCUAAGGCCCAUGGGCCACAAGCGGCCCAUGGGGGUCGUUUAACAGGCCCAUGGACCUCCGCCACCCGCUCAGUCAGCUCCCGUGCGCCGUGCUAAAGUGGCGCGGAGCAGAGCGGGGACUGCCUUCCGCGAUGUUGGCUGGCUUCCCAUUGGCUGCAGGAAGCUCCUGCAGCCAAUGGGAAGCUGUGCACACCUCCUCUGCGCUGGAAUGAUCGCCGGAAAUAGCAUUUGCACGUGCGUGCGCACACACUCUGGCCCACUGCGGCAUCUGUGGGACCGUGAACUGGCCCAAGCCACAAAAACUUUGCUGACCCCUGCCCUAUUCCUAUCUUUAUUGAUAUACUUUUUAGCUUUAUUUCUAUCUGUUUUCCCAACUUGUGCAAAUUAUUCUUUUCUUUCCAACUUCCCGUAUAUUUUACUUCAUGUAUUUUCUUUUUUUCCCUCUUUGUAGAACUUCAGCCUGCUGGCAGGGACUUCUGCUAGUUCUUACCCUCCUAUUUUUCAUACAUCACCUAGUGCAUAUUGGAAAUUUUAAGUUAAUAAGCUCACUAACCUAAAAUACCAGGCACAGUCUGGACCCAGGGAUUUCAAAGCUCAGCCUUGAGAAGUAAAGCCGUUACUUGCUGGCAAGAAUUUCAGUGUAUUGGGGAUAGGAGGUUCCCUCAAUUAAAAAAGAAUCUAGGGUUUUGUAACACAGACUGUUGCCCUCUUACGCUGGACCAUUAACAGUGCUGUAUCUAUCCAAUAUAAACUUAGCAUACAAUUUUGCUGUAGGUAGAAACUAAUUACUAGAAGGUCUAAUUUAAUUUAAUUAGCUGCUGUGCCAAGUAACCUUAACAUAUCUACAGUUUCAGAGUUUAUGAAGUAUAAUUUUUGUGUACUGUUUCCCGCAGCCUUUUAAAUUAAAAGCUGACAAGGUCUUGGCUGUGUAAUCUAAAACGUUUUUGCAUUAUUUUUAAACUUAUUUGAAAGCUGAUAUGCUGCCUUUUUGACCUGGUUACUGUAUAAGGCUACAUUUUUUGGCAAAUGUUAACAAUCACUUUGUGUGUGGCCGAAAUAAAUUUUUCUAGUAAUAGCAAUUGAGCUUUGGCUUGAAUAAAGGAAUCUUUUUUCACACAAUUUUAUAAUAAGCAUUUUUAUUUGUGGUUUUUCAAAAUAUUGCAAAGUUCCAGUAAAAACAGGACCUAUAUCCACUUCCAAGCAAACCAUUAAGCAUGAAAAGGAGGGUUCUUAACUCUAGAUUUUGUUCAUGGAACCAUGCAGCACAACUUAUUGACCUAGUCUAAAUAAGGAAUAUUGCUCCCAAGGUUUUUGAGCAACACACUGUGUAAUUUUUCAGAUUAUUGUCUGGGGGAAAUGAUUUUGAUUUACACUAUUGGUUAAGUACAAUAUCUUUCUCAGGUAUAAUGCCAGGAAGAUUUCUGUGGUGAGCAUGCUGUUUUUCAGAAACUACAUUUUAAUUCUCAGGGUCACUGCUUGGAUCAGGAGUUGCAACUCUGCUGAGCAGUGAAUUUAGGUUUAUAGCAUUGUGGAAUAUAAUAAUUCUUUUAAGUGAGUUUCUGUUGCAGGGGCUCAGUGCUACUGGUAUUCACACAACCAUUUUAUUUUCCCUGCAAGGUGACUUUCCAGCCAUGCCACAGGAUAUCCUCGUAUAUUUGUUGUGUGAAGUAUAUAGCACAUGGCUGUAUCUUGGAUCAGCACCAUUUGCUGCAGGUUCACAAGCAGUAGGUAACAAUACUAAUUCUAAACCUCCUAGUUCUUUUUUAUGAGAUGAGGAGGAACAAAUCAGAAGUGAUCCUUUGGGAAAUGUUCAUUCUCAAGGUAUAUUGAUAUUUGGUGAAUGUUCCAGAUAUCAUCAGAAUCAGUGUCAUGCUGAAUGUCAUAUCAGUUGUAUCACCUAUUACAUGGAGCUCAUUUUAACGUGUAAAUAAAACAUAAUGUCUUACUUACUUUGUAUGCAAAUUUCUGUUUAGUAUAUUUUAUUCAAUUUUAUUUUACAGUAUUU